This 208-nucleotide ribosomal RNA is filed under the name uncultured bacterium. RNAcentral describes it as "partial 16S ribosomal RNA". It matches the Rfam family "Bacterial small subunit ribosomal RNA", at positions 568 to 774 of the family's 1533-position model. The record is from RNAcentral.
UGCGUAGGAGGUCGUGUGUGUCGGAUGUGAAAUCUUGCUGUUCAUCGGCAAAAACUGCAUUCGAAACUACACGGCUAGAGUACAGGAGAGGAGAGCAGAAUUCACGGUGUAGCGGUGAAAUGCGUUGAUAUCGUGAGGAAUGCCGGUGGCGAAGGCGGCUCUCUGGACUGUUACUGACUCUGAGGCACGAAAGCUAGGGGAGCAAACA